Molecule: non-coding RNA, 5750 nt
Organism: Camelina sativa (false flax)
Lineage: Eukaryota; Viridiplantae; Streptophyta; Magnoliopsida; Brassicales; Brassicaceae
Source: RefSeq, a predicted model, not a curated record
UUCAUCUUUCGGUGGAAAAAAAAAAACUCAUCUUUCUUCUUUGUUGCUCUCUCUGCGACUGAGAGCGAACAAGCGCUCUGCGAAUUGUCUUAGUGGGAGAAGAUCGCCGCCGGUGGUCUCGGGACGACUAUGAUGAAGAAGCCGAUGGAUCGAUCAUCCCAUUGUUCGACUCCAACUAAUUAACAAAAUCAGCGGAUUCCGAGAGCGAUGCAGGAUAGGAUCAAAGCAAAGACGACGAGCCCUUCUUCGUCUUCUUCUUCUUCGGGUUUUUUUAGACAAGAUUGCAAAACCAUGAUCGAGACGUGAAUCUAUGUCUGAAGCCAGAACUACGGGGAGAGAUUGUGUCUGCUACAUGUUCUUGCUUCUUCCUCAACCACCAAUUCAUCAACUCCUCUUCUCUCCUCCACGCAUCAAUCUGAUUUUGAAGAUUGAACCAUUCCAUACCUUUUGCUAGGAGCUCUCUAGUUCUCAUCCUGCUCAAGUACUACGGAGAUUUGUGCAGGUAAAGUGGAUUGGAUCUUCCACGCUUUUUGGAUCCUCUGAUUGGAGAGAACCUUUCGUAUGUUGUCAUGUUUUAUACAGAUACCUUUUGUAUGGAGAUAUCUCGACAAAGGCUCGUCUUACCUAAGGUAACGAUUGUUAAACCAUUUAGUUUUCCGCUGGAGAUUCCAUUGGGUGUCUGCUACUCUGUUCUUGCUUCCUCAAUCCUCACCCACCAAUUCAACUCCGACGAAGUAGAUUCAGAACACGGUCGCUAUGCUAAGGUCUGGAGAAUUGACGAAGAAGAUUCAGAACCAACACUAAGAUGAACUACUUCUCUGUACAAUUGAACCAUCCCAUUACCUUUUGCUACCCUAGAUGCCGACGAGCCAGCUCUCUGGUGCUCAUCCUGCUCCUCCUGAAGCACUACACAUCUCUCUGGUGUGUGCGUCUUUACUUGUCUGACUUUGAAUUUUGUAAUUUGUGCAGGGAAAGUUGAUUUGGAUCUAACACGCUCUUGGAUUGGUGAUUGAUAUCCUAACUGCUAUGGCUAUAGAGCUCUCUGGUCUUGUGUGUGUCUUUACUUCUCAGACUUUGAAUUUUAUAAUUUGUGCAGGGAAAAUCGGAUUGGAUCCUCUCAAUCAUAACACGCUUUUGGAUCCUCUCAAUGGAGAGAACCCUUUCAAUAUUAAAGUGGGUGAAAGCAGCAAUUCUCAGGUACGUAGUGGACAGCAAGGUAAGCAUUGUAAUGGAGCUAUGGAGUUGAGUGAAAUGGAAGACUGUUGGCAAUGGAAGAUACACAAGGAGCCAAGUGAAGAGCCGAGAUGUUUGUUCAGUUGACUGGUGGUGGACUCGAGGCUGCUGUUUGCGGAGCAAACUCAAAAAGAGUUUUGGUGGGGCACUUUGCGCCGUAAGGACUCAAACAAGUGCUCAUAACUUGUACAUGUUUCCAAGAUGAUAUUUCCAUGGAUGUUUGAUGAGACUCAUUCCUUGAUGCCAUUCAAAUCUGCUGCUGCUGAUCUCUUGGUCAAGAUUAGAGUAUUCGCCGGCCUCUAUUAUAUGAUAUAUGAUAGUUGCCAAGGUGCAUUUUGGCCAUGGAAGAUACUCAAGGAGCCAAGUGAAGAAGAUCCCAAAUGUUUGUUCACUUGACUUGGUGUACUCGAGGAAGGAUGCUGCAUGCAGAGAGCAUUACUCAAUGGGCCAAGAUUGUACAUGAUGAGCUGUGAAAUUUCUGGGUGGUGGACAAGUAUUUGGUACUCUCUUAUCUAAAGAGGAAGCAAAAGACAACGACUCCCUGGAAAAGACCUCUUCGGAUACAAUUAGAUUUGCUUCGUGGGGGUCUUAAGCUCCUAUCUAAACCUCCAGAGGAUUAUCCGGUUCUUUUGGUGUGGAUUUGAUGCCAUCUUUUGCAACUUAUCUCGUCCAAUGCCUGGGGGAUCAGAGUUGGUGGUUAUGCAAGUUUUGCUUUUUCAGGCUGGUCCCCAAGCUUUAUAUAUGAAGUUGUUGGUGUCUCCAAUUUUAACCGAGCUUGGGAAAGGUCAAGAACUACUCGUGGCCUAACGUUGAUGUUCAUAGCGGAGUGCUGCUGAACUCUUAUCGUCUAAACCGAAAGCAAGAUACUAUACUGUGCUUUUUGGCUGUCACAAGGAGCCUCGUCAUCUGCUAACAGGUACCUGAUAUGGGACCUGGCUCUUGGACUGCCACUUGAGCGGCCAAAUAGUCCAAAGAUGUAGAGGUUACAUGUCCUCCAAAAGGUGAAACUUUGGAGCUUCUUGUGUUUUAAGCUCCUCUCUAAACCACCGAGGAUUAUCAUGUUCUUCGGUGUGGGUUUACGGGCAACUUCUCUCGUCCAAAGCGUUGGGAGAUCACAGUUGGUGGUUACGCGACUUUUGCUUCUUCAGGCUGGUAACGUUUUAUAUCCGUUGAUGGGUGGAGGAGAAGUAUCUAAACUACACUUUGCUAAGUCAGGUCAUCAUCAAACUGAAUUUGAAGAUCAGAGACAUGCUAUGGUUUGAAGUAUGAAUGAAAAGAUUCAGAACCAACACAAAGAUGAACUUCCCCUACAGUAACAAUAUCAAACUGAUUGAACCAUUCCAUACCUUUUGCUACCCUAGAUGCCGAGGAGCUCUCUGUUUCUCAUCCUGCUCAAGUACGCCAGCGAAUGGGACUACAUACGCUGGACUCGGAGGAAGAACAACUGGAGCUCCUCAUAGUCACUGAUUGAACCAUUCCAUACCUUUUGCUACCCUAGAUGCCGAGGAGCUCUCUGUUUCUCAUCCUGCUCAAGUACGCCAGAGAAUGGGACUACAUACGCUGGACUCGGAGGAAGAACAACUGGAGCUCCUCAUAGUCACUGAUAAGAGAAAUCAGAACUAUCCCAAAUUUCCACAAGUCUCUGUAGAUGUGAUUGUAACCCUUGUUUUGGUCUCUAAUAUCAGGUCGAUUAUGUUGCGUGGCAAUGUGAUCAAGAUGCUUUUUGUUCACGAGGUCGUAGUAGGGAACUCGGUGAAUGGGACUAUAUUCUCUGGACUCAGAGGAAGAACAACUGGAGCUCCUCAGAAUCACUGGUAACAAUGGUUAGACCAUUUAUUUUCCCGUUGGAGAUGCCACCACUUCAACUGAUGGGGGGCAUUAUAAUAUACACAUGGUAAGCAUUGUAAUGGAGCUAUGGAGGAGUUGGUUGAAAUGGAAGACUGUUGGCAAUGGAAGAUACACAAGGAGCCAAGUGAAGAGCCGAGAUGUUUGUUCAGUUGACUGGUGGUGGACGUGAGGCUGCUGUUUGCAGAGCAAACUCAAAAAGGUCAAGGUGCAUUCUCGCCAUGGAAGAUACACAAGGAGCCAAGUGAAAAAGAUCCCAAAUGUUUGUUCACUUGACUGGAGGAAGGAUGCUGCUUGCAGAGAGCCAAACUCAAUGGCCAAGAUUGUACUCUUGAUGAGCUAGUGAGAUUGCUGGGCGGAGAAGUAUUUGGUACUCUCUGAUCUAAAGAGGAAGCAAAGACAACGAGUCCCUGGAAAAGACCUCUUGGGAUACAAUUAGAUUUGAGAGGCCAGAGAUAUGGGGCUGGUUGAAAUCGAAGACUGUUGGCCAUGGAAGGUACAUUACACAAGGAGCCAAGUGAAGAGCUGAGAUAUGUUAGAAGGUUUAUUCAGUUCUAUUAGUGACCAAUCCGUUGGGAUGGGGAGUCAUUCGUGGAGUCAGACCAGAUCAGCAGCUGGUCAAGAUUGUACUUGAUGAGCUACUGAAAUUGGCGGGUGGAUGAGAAAGUAUCUGAGCUACACUUGUACUCAGAGCUGCAUUCACCGGGCUACCAGCAUUUCAGCUCUAAUCAUAACACGCUUUUGGAUCUUCCAAUCAUAACACGCUUUUGGAUCCUCUCAGUGGAGACAACCUUUCAAUAGUAAUAAAGGUUCUCAAGGGGAUGAAACAUGAACUCAGCCAUUUAUAUUUGUGGACAGCUUCUCCCAGUGCCCCCAUGCAUGGCUCUCCUUAACCCUUUCAAACCCCACAGAAGAUUGUACUUGAUGAGCUACUGAAAUUGAUGGGUGGAGGAGAAAGUAUCGGAGCUACACUUCCUUGUACUCAGAGCUGCAUUCAACGGACUACCAGCAAUUUAGCUCCCCUCUCUCCUACACGGGUUGGCUUCUAAUUUUGCUUCUUUUUUUUUCGUUUUGAUCUCACUUGAGUGGGUUUCUAGCAAUAAAGUAGAUUUAGAACACGGUCGCCGCCGUUCCUACAGUAACAGCAUCAAACAGAUUUUGAAGAUCGGAGGUAUGCUAUGGUUAGAAAAAUGAAUGAAAAGAUUCAGAACCAACACAAAGAUGAACUUCGCCUUACAGUAACAACAUCAAACUGAUUGAACCUUUCCAUACCUUUUGCUACCCUAGAUGCCGACGAGCUAUAUGGUGCUCAUCUUGCUCUCACGUACUACAGAGCUUUGUGCAGGGGAAAUGGAUUGGAUCUUCGAAUCCUAACUCGCUUUUUGGAUCCUCUGAUUGGAGAGAACCUUUCAAUCUUAAAGUGGAUGCAACAGAUACCUUUUGUAUGGAGAUAUCUCGACAAAGACCCGCUCAUAUGCUCGCCUUACCUAAGUUUUGUUCAUAUAUUUGGCGUUUUCUUUACUCCCUGGGUUAAGGAGGCUUAUUGCAGAGCAAACUCAAAGGCCAAGGUGAGUCUCGCAGUUGUUAGAAGGUGUUAGUGACCAAGCCAUUGGGAUGGGCAUCAUUCGUGGAGUCAGACCAGAUCAGCAUUUGGUGAAGAUUGUACAUGAUGAGCAAGUAAAAUUGAUGGGUGGAAGAGAAGUAUCUAAGCUACACUUCCUUGUACUCAGAGCAGGAUUCACCGGGCUACAAGCAUUUCAGCUUCUCUCUCUCCUAGACGGUUUGGCUUCCAGUUCGUUUCUACAAAAUACCAUCUUUAUGCCAUUGUGGAGCGUUCCAUGUCAUGUCUUGCUACUGCGCAAGACCAUUUUAUUGUUUCUGAGGUUUCUUUCGGGUGCUUGCCAUGAUCUCCCUUUGAUGGCUGCUGCAGUAGUGUCUUUAGCACUUGGGAUGAAAAAACAGAGGGUAUCAAAGAAGGUUGGUAUGAUGGAGGAAGCAUUGCAUUUCCAGUGAUUCUUGUCACAGCUGUCAGUGACUACAAACAGCCUCUCCAUUUUUAAAACUUGAGUGAUGAAAAGAGAUUCAUACAUCUAGAGGUGACCAGAGGUGGAAGACGAGUGGAUAUUUCAAUCUAUGACAUUGUGGUGGGUGAUCUCAUCUCAACAUUGGAAAUCAGAAGUGGUGCUGCUGCUUUGAAGGAGGUGUCAAUAGGUAUCGGAGAAAACGAUUAAACGGGUAAGAUGUGAAGAGCGAACCCUUUUAUCCUGAUCGAAUGGCUGUACGAAUUCUAUGAAUGGCAACAGAAGCUAAGUCUAUUCUAUGAUCAUAUGCAACUGAUGAAGCCACGGUUGGAGACCAUCCGGGAGGAAAUGCAAAACAAGUGAAAAAACGGAUGAGCAAGGAAGAGAUGGAGACGGCGAUGAACAAGACCAAAGAGAUUGUCUCCUCGUACCCGGUCGUUGUCUUCAGCAAGACUUACUGUCGUUAUUGCCAGAGGGUGAAGCAGCUGCUUACACAACUUGGAGCAAGUUUUAAAGUACUUGAGCUCGAUGAGAUAGGCGAUGGAAGUAAGAUCCAAUCAGCUUUGUCAGAGUGGACUGGCCAAAGCACUGUUCCAAGCGUCUUCAUCAAAGCAAAACAUAUCGGUGGAAGCGAUAGUAAGAGAAAAUUUU